Pan troglodytes (chimpanzee) is the source of this 1119-nucleotide long non-coding RNA. RefSeq lists it as uncharacterized. The transcript is spliced from 2 exons. NCBI's taxonomy places the organism in Eukaryota, Metazoa, Chordata, Mammalia, Primates, Hominidae. The record is from RefSeq and is a predicted model, not a curated record.
AAAAAAAAAAGGCUCUUGGGUCCCACCGUAAGAGCGCAUAAAGAGAGGAGGUACAAUGACCGUCCUUUGCCAUUGUAGGGCUCCCUAAUUUAUGCGUUUUUAGACCCGUAAGCAUCAUUUUGUGGGCAACCAAACGGGCACUUCCAAAUUAGCUCAAAGUAUCCAAGCCCAGAGAAGAGAGAAAACACACAUACACUGAUAAAUACGCAGAUGCUAACUUGUCUUUUAUGAACUUGAAACACAUCGGCUAGGUCUUCAUCCUCACCUGCACUGGAAUUACCUACUUAAAAAAAACAAACUAAUGAUACACAAAGAAGCACUUAUGUAUGUAUUUAAACACUUGCUGGGAUCCUUCUGAAAACUACAGUUUGAAUUUUACGUUUCCGGUUUAGUUUAAAUUGUAUUGUUUACUUGUAUGUAUUAGCUUAAAUAAAAUAAUAGAAAGUCAUUUCAAACGUUUCUCAGAGACAACAGGGUAAGUAAAAAAUAGUUGCGUUAUGACAUCUGUGAAUAUAAAAGUUAUUUGUGGCCCAUUAUAUUUUACUUUUCAAGUUCAAACGUAUUUCAAAUAUGAAACCCAUUAUCAUAAUCUCCAUAUUGAUUAGUUGUCCAAAUUGAAAAGUGUUUACAAUUUUAAUUUUUUCCAGAUGAUUAUUACUCUGUUUUCAGGCUAUAAAUUUCAUCUCAUGUAAUUUUCUUCGUAGAACUUUGACAUAGCAGUUAACAUCAAGUGGUUGUACUACAAUUUUUGCUUAUUUUGUUUUUCAACUGCAUUGGGUCCUGUUUUAAGUGCAUAUACAUCUGGAAUGCUUCCAUCUUUAAAUUAAAAGCACUUUAUCACAUCUGAAGGUUCUCUGCAGAGAGUCACUUUCUGACUGCUUAGGAACUUGAUAAGCCAAAUAGUAUUCCAUCACUGUAGGUAAACAGUUCUGGGAAAGAAAAAUCUACAAUCUUUGACAUUUCUUCCUGUCAAUUGUUUGUACCUCAUUCUGGAAAUUACAUAUCUUCAUGCCGGAAACGCUAUUUGGAUGUGUGUGGAUGAUUCUGAAAAUUGAUAUAGUCUGAAGGAUGUAUAUGUACAUUUAUAUAUAGACACAAUAUAACCCAAUUGAUAUUCCA